UACGUAGGGUCCGAGCGUUGUCCGGAAUUACUGGGCGUAAAGAGCUCGUAGGUGGUUUGUCGCGUUGUUCGUGAAAACUCACAGCUUAACUGUGGGCGUGCGGGCGAUACGGGCAGACUUGAGUACUGCAGGGGGAGACUGGAAUUCCUGGUGUAGCGGUGGAAUGCGCAGAUAUCAGGAGGAACACCGGUGGCGAAGGCGGGUCUCUGGGCCGAUACUGACACUGAGAAGCGAAAGCGUGGGGAGCGAACAGG
This 254-nucleotide ribosomal RNA is filed under the name uncultured bacterium. RNAcentral describes it as "partial 16S ribosomal RNA". It matches the Rfam family "Bacterial small subunit ribosomal RNA", at positions 524 to 776 of the family's 1533-position model. The record is from RNAcentral.